Molecule: small RNA, 35 nt
Filed under: Bombyx mori (domestic silkworm)
Lineage: Eukaryota; Metazoa; Arthropoda; Insecta; Lepidoptera; Bombycidae
Description: ovarian small RNA-14016
Source: RNAcentral
CCUGAAAUAGGUUCAAAAAAUGGCGUGACCUUCAC